Long non-coding RNA from Dreissena polymorpha, 3212 nucleotides. RefSeq lists it as uncharacterized. Lineage: Eukaryota; Metazoa; Mollusca; Bivalvia; Myida; Dreissenidae. The transcript has 4 exons. The record is from RefSeq and is a predicted model, not a curated record.
GGUUUACAAACAAUGCAUCUCAUUUCUUGAUCGAAAAUAUAAAAAAGAGAAACAAAAGCCGGAGCCAGCGACAUCGCUCGAAUUUAUUCAAUCUUGGCGACAAGACUGAGUGUUUGCAGAACCAUAGGAGUAUCGUUGGAAGAGAAGAAGACAGGGAAAUGGCUUAAACACACGAAUUGUAUUUAGGAAGACGUGCCGGCAAAACUAUUGCAAGUUUGACUGUUCAGCAUAAUGUUAGAACAACAAACUCUUCACCUAUGCACGGUCAUCAGCCCCUGCCAGGUCCUGGCCUGUCAUUUGUGUCACAAGGAAGUACCACACCUGGUCAUGUGUCAGGAAUUGGAGAGAUAACAUCUUACUUAGAAGUAAAUUGAAGGCAGCCAACAAUUGGACGGUGGUGCCAAUCAAUGAAAAGAAGGGAUACACGUACAUGCACUGAGUACACAGAGAUCAUCAAGGAAAAAACACUUCGAUCAAAGUUCCUUUUUGAUUCAGCUUAUCCAAAGCUGAUUGCCUCUACAAUUGCCCCUUAUAUAUCCACCUGCGGCUAAAGAGGAGCUGCAAUAUCCAAUAGGUCAAGGGCAAGCAACCCGGAAACAAUAUGAAGAUUUACUCAUACAAAUUGGUACAUGGUGUAUGUAACUAUGUUGUUUUAACUAACUUCAACAUACCAUUAUUAUGAAUUAAAAAAUUGACAAAGCUGAAAUCAAUGAUAACUGACUAUGGGUAGGAACAUGUUGUGUGAAUUUGGCAGCAUGGUUAUAUAGGAUGUAUACCAUUGAGUAUGAAAGUGCAUGUGUGACCCUGGCUGUUUUUUCAGUCAGUAGAUGACUUUAGUAUUUGAAAUGAUGCUUGAAUUUAUUUGUGUAAUAUGAAGGCGUGACCAAAUGUGUGACAUUAUGGUCAACUGUCCUGUCAUCAUCAUGGUGAUAAAAUGUGAUUUUAAUAAGUGAACUGCUUAUAAACAUAGGGCAGAAAUAUCAUUGAUAAAAUACUGAUGAACAUAGCAUACAAGUGCCCUGAAAUGCCAUGAGAAUAUGUAUUUGAGUUUUAAGUGUGUAAGGUAUUGUGAAUUUUGUUAAUUGUUUUGUUAUAAAAAUAUAGGAUCCAAAGUAUUUAAUCAUAGAUCACUCUGAACAAGAAGAAUAAGUAAAAACCUUGUCUGGCAAAUAACUACAUAAACAAUGGGCCAAAUUCCAGAUUUUUUUGUCACAAGUCAAGACCAUUAACAGGAAUUGUUGACUCUUAUAGGUGUUAUGUAUCGUGAUGUGUGUUAAGUUUUUAAUGGGAGACCCAUGAUCAAACAUGGUGAAUUAAUUGUUUUGUUAUUACAAUUGAGGAUCCAAAGUAUUUGAUAUAGGUCACUCUGAAACAGAAGAAUUUGUGAAAACCUUGUCUGGCAAAUAGCUAAAUAAACACUGGGCUCAGCAUUUUCCUGAUUUUUUGUCACAAGUAAAGACUAUGAACAGGAAUUAUUGACUCUUUUAGGUAUAAGCUACCAUAGUCAAUGUUAAGUGCGUGCUGCACACCACAUUUGUUUAUGUUCCAUUAACAAUGACAUCAAAGCACAAUGCUAUAUAUAGACUAUGUAUUGUUUUCCAUUGUUUAUCAGUCUAUAAACAACCAUUUAUUAUGCCCCCCUUCGAAGAAGAGGGGGUAUAUUGCUUUGCUCAUGUCGGUCGGUCCGUCCGUCCACCAGGUGGUUGUCAGACGAUAACUCAAGAACGCUUGGGCCUAGGAUCAUGAAACUUCAUAGGUACAUUGAUCAUGACUUGCAGAUGACCCCUAUUGAUUUUGAGGUCACUAGGUCAAAGGUCAAGGUCAUGGUGACCCGAAAUAGUAAAAUGGUUUCCGGAUGAUAACUCAAGAACGCAUACGCCUAGGAUCAUGAAACUUCAUGGGUAGAUUGAUCAUGACUCGCAGAUGACCCCUAUCAAUUUUGAGGUCACUAGGUCAAAGGUCAAGGUCACGGUGACCCGAAAUAGUAAAAUGAUUUUCGGCUGAUAAUUCAAGAAUGCAUAUGCCUAGAAUCAUGAAACUUUAUAGGUAGAUUAAUCAUGACUCGCAGAUGACCCCUAUUUAUUUUCAGGUCACUAGGUCAAAGGUCAAGGUCACGGUGACCCGAAAUAGUAAAAUGAUUUUCGGAUGAUAACUCAAGAACGCAUAUGCCUAGGAUCAUAAAACUUCAUAGGUAGAUUGAUCAUGACUCGCAGAUGACCCCUAUUGAUUUUGAGGUCACAAGGUCAAAGGUCUAGGUCACGGUGACCCGAAAUAGUAAAAUGAUUUUCGGAUGAUAACUCAAGAACGCUUUUGUCUAGGAUCAUGACACUUCAUAGGUACAUUGAUCGUGACUUGCAGAUGACCCCUAUUGAUUUUCAGGUCACUAGGUCAAAGGUCAAGGUCACAGUGACAAAAGUCGUAUUCACACAAUGGCUGCCAGUACAACGGACAGCCCAUAUGGGGGGCAUGCAUGUUUUACAAACAGCCCUUGUUGUAAUAGCCUUACAUAAACUGUCAUAAAGAUGAUAAAGUGCUGUUAAUCCAUAAAUAAAAUAAAGAGCUGCGCCAUGAGCGCAUGAUACGCCCGUCGUUCGCCAAUGAAGUAGUAAGGUAAUAAAUAACCCUUUGAAUCAUUUUUUUACUUCAGUUUAUUUGUAUUUGAAUACAUGGUUUAUUUUAUAAGUACAUGAGCAUGGAGCGCCGUCUCCUUGACAUUCAACAAAGUCCCAUAACUCUGGAACGACAAUUCAGAAUUCCGUCAAAAACGAAAGGGGAUCAGGGUUUAUCAAUAUUAAGAUUGUGUUGAAAUUUGAAAAAAAUCCAUCGAAGGAUAUUAGAGCUACAGUAGGACAUUCAAUGAAAUAACGAAAUUUUGACGAACAAAGUCCCAUAACUCUGGAACGACAAUUCAGAAUUCCGUCAAAAACGAAAGGGGAUUAGGGUUUAUCAAUAUUAAGAUUGUGUUGAAAUUUGAAAAAAAUCCAUCGAAGGAUAUUUGAGCUACAGUAGGACAUUCAAUGAAAUCACGAAAUUUUGACGAACAAAGUCCCAUAACUCUGGAACGACAAUUCAGAAUUCCGUCAAAAACGAAAGGGGAUCAGGGUUUAUCAAUAUUAAGAUUGUGUUAAAAUUUGAAGAAAAUCUGUCAAAGGAUAUUUGACGUAGCGUACGACAUUAACAGACGGACGGACAGACGCGGGGUAUACCAUAAU